Molecule: long non-coding RNA, 980 nt
Organism: Fukomys damarensis (Damara mole-rat)
Lineage: Eukaryota; Metazoa; Chordata; Mammalia; Rodentia; Bathyergidae
Exons: 7
Source: RefSeq, a predicted model, not a curated record
UCUCUGAAAGGCUGUCUGGUGGAGGCCGACAGCCUCAAAGUCGCGACUGAGUCUGCGCGCCGGCACCUCGGGCUGGGAAGAGCUUUACUACGAUAAGGCAACUUGAUAAUCAGAUCAAUUUCGGAUUAGAGUCACUGAUCCUGGGGUUCUUUCUGACAAAGGCAGUGACAUACCCAUCUGUGACCUCAUCCCAAGAGUGAACUUAGUUUCUUACUCCAUGGCAACCAGUGUUGGUGUGACCUUACCUAUGUUUAGAAAAUAGAAAGUUUACUGAGGAUUCUCCAUGGCUAAAUGAUGGGAGAAGAGUUGGGCCCCAGAUCCAGGGUGACAGUAAAAGGAGAGGCAAAGGAGGACACAGUCUCAGUGCAGCUGUGGAUCCAACCAAGGAUCACAUGGUGCUUCUUGUUGAGACAUCCAUGAAUCUUCUUUAAUCAGGAGUGGUUAGGCAUCUUUGUCUCUCAUGAAGUUGCCAGUUUUGAAGGUCCAGUUAUUUAAUAGGGAUGUCACAGGAGGGAUUUUGUGUCCUCUGCCGUGUGUCACAUCAAGAGGCCCAGACAGUCAUGUAUCUCCCUCCUUCCUGGUGAUGUUCAGUGAGUGAUCAUUUGAUUAAGAUAAUGACUUUGAAGUUUACCCAGCAUAAAGACAAGUUCUCACUAUGUUGCCAAGGUUGGCCUAAAACUUGGACUUAAGUGAUCCUCCUGCCUCAGCUUCAGAAGUAGCUGGGAUCUCCGCUGGCAGUUGCUGUUUUUAAAGGUUGUCAUCAUAGAAUAUUUCUCAAUGAGCAAAGCCUGGAUCUAGUGGGAAUCAGCUGUGGGAUUGAUGAAGUUUGAACUGUCAACCAUUAGGAUCACACCUCAAGAAUCCUAAUCAGGAGAAAAGCACUUGUUAUCCACCUUUGCUGAGAUGGUUUCCUUGUCCUGGAGUCAGUGCUGGUGGAACAUAGAUAGACAGGCUCUUGCUUUGUUGCCCAGGCUGACCUC